AUGAACCCUGUGGACCACCCUCAUGAGGGCGGUGAAGGGAAAGCUCCCAUUUGUAGAAAAAAGACAACCCCUUGGAGUUAUCCUGAGCUUGGAAGAAGAACUAGGAAAGGAAAAAAAUAGCAUAGUUUUAUUCUUCAUCGCCGUAAGUUAAUAACGUAA
This 159-nucleotide ribosomal RNA is filed under the name Triticum aestivum (bread wheat). RNAcentral describes it as "partial small subunit ribosomal RNA". The record is from RNAcentral. Lineage: Eukaryota; Viridiplantae; Streptophyta; Magnoliopsida; Poales; Poaceae.